RNAcentral lists this ribosomal RNA (363 nucleotides) under Triticum aestivum (bread wheat). RNAcentral's name for it is "partial small subunit ribosomal RNA". Lineage: Eukaryota; Viridiplantae; Streptophyta; Magnoliopsida; Poales; Poaceae. The record is from RNAcentral.
AUGAACGGGGUAGAUCAACAUAUUACUAUAGCUAACGCUCUGUCCUCUCAUCUCACAUUGCUGAAAUUCAGAAGGAAUUUGGUGGGAGAUAAGGCAGAUCAGUGGCAGGAAUUAUUGAAGCUGUGUGAGAAAGUUGUUUUGAAUCAGGAAGAGGAUAAGCUUUUCCGGAUCCCUAAGAGUACGGGAGUAUAUAGUGUUAGAUCUUUUUAUUCGGUGUUACAAGUUAGGGAAAAGUGUCCAAAUAGAUUCUUAUGGAAAGUUAAAGUACCUCCUAGAAUUAGAACAUUCAUCUGGUUAGUUACAAAGAAAAGUAUCUUAACCAGGGAUGUUUUGCUGCACAGGGGUGGAAAAUGUGAAAAGCGU